Molecule: ribosomal RNA, 497 nt
Filed under: uncultured bacterium
Lineage: Bacteria
Description: partial 16S ribosomal RNA
Rfam family: Bacterial small subunit ribosomal RNA
Source: RNAcentral
GAUGAACGCUGGCGGCGUGCCUAAUACAUGCAAGUCGAGCGAACAGACGAGGAGCUUGCUCUUCUGACGUUAGCGGCGGACGGGUGAGUAACACGUGGAUAACCUACCUAUAAGACUGGGAUAACUUCGGGAAACCGGAGCUAAUACCGGAUAAUAUAUUGAACCGCAUGGUUCAAUAGUGAAAGACGGUUUUGCUGUAACUUAUAGAUGGAUCCCCGCCGCAUUAGCGAGUUGGUAAGGUAACGGCUUACCAAGGCGACGAUGCGUAGCCGACCGGAGAGGGUGAUCGGCCACACUGGAACUGGGACACGGUCCAGACUCCUACGGGAGGCAGCAGUAGGGAAUCUUCCGCAAUGGGCGAAAGCCUGACGGAGCAACGCCGCGUGAGUGAUGAAGGUCUUCGGAUCGUAAAACUCUGUUAUUAGGGAAGAACAAAUGUGUAAGUAACUAUGCACGUCUUGACGGUACCUAAUCAGAAAGCCACGGCUAACUACGUG